GGUGAGAUGGCCGAGCGGUCUAAGGCGCCAGCUUAAGGUGAACAUCACUUCGCUGGUCCGAAAGGGCAGGGGUUCGAAUCCCCUUCUCAUCA
Mycena vulgaris is the source of this 92-nucleotide non-coding RNA. The record is from the annotation of a GenBank genome assembly. Lineage: Eukaryota; Fungi; Basidiomycota; Agaricomycetes; Agaricales; Mycenaceae.